Molecule: ribosomal RNA, 441 nt
Filed under: uncultured bacterium
Lineage: Bacteria
Description: partial 16S ribosomal RNA
Rfam family: Bacterial small subunit ribosomal RNA
Source: RNAcentral
CCUACGGGAGGCUGCAGUGGGGGAUAUUGCACAAUGGGGGGAACCCUGAUGCAGCGACGCCGCGUGGGUGAAGGAGCGUUUCGGCGCGUAACGCCCUAUCGGCAGGGAAGAAGGAGGACGGUACCUGCCUAAGAAGCCCCGGCUAACUACGUGCCAGCAGCCGCGGUAAGACGUAGGGGGCAAGCGUUAUCCGGAUUUACUGGGUGUAAAGGGGGCGCGGACGGCAGCGCAAGCCAGGAGUGAAAGCCCGGGGCCCAACCCCGGGACAGCUCUUGGAACUGCGCGGCUGGAGUGCAGGAGGGGCAGGCGGAAUUCCUGGUGUAGCGGUGAAAGGCGUAGAUAUCAGGAGGAACACCGGUGGCGAAGGCGGCCUGCUGGACUGCGACUGACGUUGAGGCCCGAAAGCGUGGGGAGCAAACAGGAUUAGAUACCCCGGUAGUC